CCUACGGGUGGCAGCAGUCGAGAAUCAUUCACAAUGGCGGAAGCCCUGAUGGUGCGACGUAGCGUGGGGGAAUGAAGGCCUUUGGAUUGUAAACCUCUGUUAUGCGGGAGCAAAUUAAAAAGCUAGUACAACUAGAGGAAGAGACGGCUAACUCUGUGCCAGCAGUUGCGGUAAUACAGAAGUCUCAAGCGUUGUUCGGAUGCACUGGGCGUAAAGUGUGCGUAGGCUGGUUCGUAAGUCGUGAGUGAAAGGCGGUGGCUCAACCCGCAGACGGCAGAUGUUAGUGGGAGACUUGAGUAAUGGGAGGGGAGCCGGAAUUCGCGGUGUAGCAGUGAAAUGCGUAGAUAUCAAGAAGAACACUGGUGGCGAAGGCAGGUUCCUGGACAGUUACUGACGCUGAAGCACGAAGGCGAGGGGAGCGAAAAGGAUUAGAUACCCUAGUAGUC
RNAcentral lists this ribosomal RNA (446 nucleotides) under uncultured bacterium. RNAcentral's name for it is "partial 16S ribosomal RNA". It matches the Rfam family "Bacterial small subunit ribosomal RNA", at positions 338 to 795 of the family's 1533-position model. The record is from RNAcentral.